UUGUGUAACAUAGUGUAGUAAAAUGCUUCAAUUCAACGUAUCCACCACCUGUAUCAACAUAUAGAAUAUGUCUAGCGCCCCAGAGGACUUCCUGUGCCUCUUGGAACCUCAUCCACCACCACCACCACUACAGUUCUAUUUGCUGUACAUGUUUUCAAAUUUCAUAUAAAAGGAAUUCUACCGGAUAGAGGUUUUCUGUGUGUGACCCCCUUAGCAGUACGUGUGGAUAGUUUCAUAUUUUCAAAUAGAAGAAACAUAAGAACUGGACGUCUAUAUGGAGAAAACUUUUUGCCUCAAAUUUUAAAAAAGAAAUGUGGAUUAUACAUGACCUAUAUAUGAUGUAUGAUACAAGCUGUGCCACAAGGAGAGAGUUCCUAACCCCACCAAUUUAAAAAAAGAAAAAACUCGUUGUACUUUUGUGAGUGAUAUGUUCUUAGAUUUCCCUUUAUUUUAAAUUUAAAUCCUGCUUUUCAGUUCCACAACCCUGCCAUCUUGGCAGUACAUGAAACUAGCAUUUGAAAAUGAUAGUGUUCUAAGAAGAAGUGACAUGUUAUAUGACUACACAAGUUCUGGUUUUCGUCUUAUAUUUAAACUCCCAUCUUUGAAACUAUGAAGAAGCUGCUUUUGUUUCUACACUGGUCCAUCUGGGGCUGCACAGCCCAUGGAAUGCCAUGGUGCAUCAAGAACUGUGUGUGAUUAUUGAGUACCUAACUGAGAUUGAGAGGCAUAACAUCUUCAAGGGAACACAUGCAGAUUUGGGGAGCUCUUUGAGCAUCUUCAUCCUCUCCCUUGACCCUACAAAGAAUAGACUGUACAAGUUUAGAGAGAGGAGAGUAGAUUUCAUGUGAUGCAUACAGAGAGAAAUGGACUGGACUUCUCAAUAGGAGCUCUGACAAUUAUAGACUCAUGAAACAAUAUUCCAGACUUGUGUGGAAGUACUUGUAAUUGUGGGAGACCAGAUAGGAAGAAUAAGGCCUAACUGGCCUCUCUGUGAGCACUACGGAGAAAGGCAGCGUGAGUGCAUGCUCCCAUGCUGCAGGAAAAAUUAAUCCACCUGUUGUUUACCCGGACAUGUACCAUGGAUGAUAGGAGGCAAAUGAAUCUUUUUUACUGUGAUGGCUUGUGCCCAUGUCUGAGUGAAUAAAAGGAGAGUGUGCCAGUUACUUGGGGCUCUUGGUUGAAGGGAGAGAAAAGCUCCCUGGCCCUCCACAUUUUAACCUUAUUCUGUGUCUCUUUGUGUUUCAUCCUUGUCAUUCUCUCAGGUAUCAGCUCUACCAAGACAAAUAUCAACCAGUUAUAAAACUGGAAUAAAAUCAUUUUCAAUCCCAAAAUGUUUCAACAAAUACAUACUCCAUGCAUUCUUUCUCCGGAAUUUAAUGGAGGAAUGUGUUCUUCCUAAGUGAGAAAUAAGCCAAGAAAAUUACCUUAAUCCAACUGUUCAUGAAUUAAAUAUCAAAGAAAACAGGAAUUUGACUAAUGCUUUGUGAUGCAGGGAUGUGAUCAAGGAACCCACAAUAAAAGAAAUGAGUGGAAUCACAAGCUGAUGGAUUGGGACAUAAACACGGAGAGCCGCAUUCAGAUAAACACCUCACUGACAUCAGCUGGAGGUGCGACGGAGCCCAGCCCUCACACAGCCACAGAAUCACCGAUUUCCCACCACCCACAGAUGAGACCUUUGUGGAGCCUGGGAGACCAGCUAAGAGUUUCCAGUACCCUGGUAGAACAAAAGAGUUUCACUUCACAUGUCUCCCGUGGGCAGCCUCACUGGGGCAAGGACAGCCCCUUGGCACAGGAGUGCCAGCCUUGUGUGAUGCUGCGUAGGACACUUGUCCUGCCCCGCAGAGCCCAGGAGGAUCUUCAGGGCCGACGGUCUGGGUGAACAGGGGCAGAGGCUGGCUGCAAACUGCUCAUCACAGCCCACAGGGCCUGCCAGGGAUCAGACUCCACUAGGAGGCCCCACUCCACGCUGUGCUCCCACCCAGAGCCCUGAAGACAGCACGAGGGUAUCACCAGCUGGCCUACUGCCAGGAUGGACAAGGGCACAAGACCACUGCCCUAGGGAAAGUACACUGGGGCCCUUAGUGUCCAGCCCAGCUCUGUGGGAGUUGGAGGCGGCACUCUGUCCUACAAUGUCCCACCCCAAAGGGACGGAGUGGAGCAGACGAACCCACAGCCAACAUCCAAGAAAGCCUUAGCGUCUGACUGGGGACAGGCUGACCAGUGCCAGGAGCCUUUCCUCUCCUGCAGCAAGUCUCCUGGGACGAGGAAGGUGCCAGUCUUGAUCUUUUCUAACAUUCUUCCGGGACUGAGCAGACGACCUCAGAAGCCACAGUAAUCCCUUCUGAGGGCAGCACCCAGCUUCUGAUUUCCUCAUGGGACCUAGAAGGCAUGGAACACCUGGCCAUGAGACCUGGAGCGGCCGUGUGCAUCAUGCGGUCCCUUAGGACCUGCUACUGUGUGUUCAGCACAAACACCCACUUGGCUGAGUGUCACAGCAGCCACCACAUGUGACUGGGACCAGGACCACAGCCUCUGAGCAGCAGUCAGGCUCCUGCAGUGCCCACAUCCCCAAAGCCCGCAGAGACGGGGCUCCCAGGGUUCCCUCACCGGCUGAGGGAAGAGAAAAAGAAUGGGUCUCUUGGCAGUGGGUGGACAGAAGUAGGCACCACCCUGCCACUAGACCACACGUGGCCCUUCCACUGAGAACCAAGAACACAUGGCCCCACUUAGGUCUCCAGUGACUCAUGGGCUGGACAGGACUAGGAGAGAACAAAUCACAAGACUGCUUAUGGGACCAGAGGGAAGACAGCAACUGCAAAUGCAGGAUGCUGAUAGGUUGUUGUGCAAGGGGGGGAUCAAAGUGUUUCAAUUUAAAAAUGUGUUACACUCAAGGACACAUUGGCACUAAUUCCCUCACAAUCCUCCCCUUGCUCCAAACACACUCAUCCCGUGUUCUUGGCAGUGUGCAUUUUACUGUGAAAAGCUUUUUAAACUAUAAACAUGUACUGUGUUCUUCCAACCACCCCCUGAAGAGUGCCUCUUGCCCUUGAAGGUAUGAGAAGGGUAGCGGUGAAAAUUGACCCCUCUUUUUUAUAUGUCUAUAUUUAAUUUUCUGAGAAAAUGCUAGCAGAGUAUUUUCCAAAUUUGAUGAAAAGCAUAAAAUUGCACAUCCACAAAGCUAAGCAGACUACAAGCAGGAAAAUUACAAAGGAAAUCACACCCAUGCACAUUACAGUCAAGCUGAGAAAAUGAAGAUAAAGAUCUUAAAAACAGCCAGAGAAAUUAUAUCUCACACACAAGAGGCAAUUACAUGAUUUUCCUUUUGGUGGUGCUCAGUAUUGAACCCAGGGCCUCACACAUGCUAGGCAGGUAUUCUACUACCAAGCUACAUCCCUGCUCUUUUUAUCUUAUUUUCAGCUAGGGUCUCACUAAGUUGCCCAGACUGACUUUGAACUUUUGAACCUCUUGCCUCUAGAGUCUCAGGUAUCUAGGAGUACCAGUGUGUUGCACCAUACCUGCUUGUAGCAACUGUACAUUUAUUUUUCACUGCUAUAUAGUGUUCUGCUUUGAGACUAUACCACAGUUUGUCCAUUUUACUAUUGGUAGAUGUGCCAUAAACAUCCUUGCAUGCAUUUUUUGGUGUACGUAUUUAUGCA
Chinchilla lanigera (long-tailed chinchilla) is the source of this 3656-nucleotide long non-coding RNA. RefSeq lists it as uncharacterized. NCBI's taxonomy places the organism in Eukaryota, Metazoa, Chordata, Mammalia, Rodentia, Chinchillidae. The transcript has 3 exons. The record is from RefSeq and is a predicted model, not a curated record.